RNAcentral lists this transfer RNA (68 nucleotides) under Marmota monax (woodchuck). Its description in RNAcentral is "tRNA.Ala". It matches the Rfam family "tRNA". Rfam says of the family: Transfer RNA (tRNA) molecules are approximately 80 nucleotides in length. Lineage: Eukaryota; Metazoa; Chordata; Mammalia; Rodentia; Sciuridae. The record is from RNAcentral.
GGUUAUAGCUCAGUUGGUAGAGUGCUUGCCUUGCAUGCACAAGGCCCUGGGUUCAAUCCUCAGCACCA